CUUCCUGGUUCCACUUUGACUUGAAGUCUAGGCCACAGAUACACCCCGAUCCACUAGCUCUACACCCCGGGAAACUUCUCGAACUUUCGGGAAGAGGAAGUUACCUGAUCACCUGAUACUUCCAAGCAACCAGGUGUUUCUUUCAGAAGCCAGAAGCUGAUAACCUGGGCUCAUUGAUCUCACCCACAGCCCAUGUUCUGUGUAGUGGAAGACUCAGGGCGGAGAUUCUUUCCACCAAGAGAUGCCACACUAUCUUGUCUCCACAGAAGCAACCUGCCUAGAGCAGGAGGUAACCUUGAGAGAGAGCUCCAUCUUACAGCGGAUAACAAAGGCCCAGGGAAGUGAAGGCACGAGGGGGACGGCCCCAAGGCUGCCUCCGUCAUUGCCAUCCUCCCAUCUCUGACACUCAGAAGCCUCCAUGGAAACUGCCUCUGUGUCCAUGGCCUGUGUUUUGCUAGUGAGACGGGAGACACAAAAGAAUUGGAGAGAUUGCCUCUGACCUUAAGAAACUUACUAACAAUCCAGGGAGAUAGGGUUAAUGUAUAAAAUACUGAAAACAGCUAAAGGUGACCGGAACAUGGGAGGCAUUCUCUCCAAGAUUGAGGUUUGCUAACCUCUGAAUUGAAGUUUGGUUUCAUUGUUCAAGG
Long non-coding RNA from Balaenoptera acutorostrata (minke whale), 647 nucleotides. RefSeq lists it as uncharacterized. The transcript has 3 exons. The record is from RefSeq and is a predicted model, not a curated record. Lineage: Eukaryota; Metazoa; Chordata; Mammalia; Artiodactyla; Balaenopteridae.